CUAGGCCAGUAGUUUUGUUAAAAAAAUUUGAAUAGUUUGGAAAUGCUAACCAUAGAGGGUGAUAGUCCCGUAUGAGUAAUGUUUAACAAAAUUCUUGAGUAAAGCGGGACACGAGAAAUCCUGCUCGAAUAUAGGGGGACCACCCUCUAAGCCUAAAUACUCUUCAGUGACCGAUAGUGAACUAGUACCGCGAGGGAAAGGUGAAAAGAACCCCUAUUAGGGGAGUGAAAUAGAACCUGAAACCGCAUGCCUACAAUCAGUCCGAGCCCUUUUUAGGGUGAGGGCGUACCUUUUGUAUAAUGGGUCAGUGACUUAAUUUAUUAAGCAAGCUUAAGCCAUCUAGGUGUAGGCGCAGCGAAAGCAAGUCUUAAUAGGGCGAUUAGUUUAAUGAAUUAGACCCGAAAACGAAUGAGCUUACCAUGAGCAGGUUGAAAGUUGGGUAACACCAACCGGAGGACCGAACCAGUUGACGUUGAAAAGUCUUUGGAUGACUUGUGGUAAGGGGUGAAAGGCCAACCAAAUUCGUAGAUAGCUGGUUUUCCGCGAAAACUAUUUAGGUAGUGCGUUGAAUAAAUAGAUGUUUAGAGGUAGAGCACUAAAUGGGCUAGGGGGAAGAGAUUCUUACCAAACCUAAUAAAACUCCGAAUGCUGAACAUUGUUCUUCAACAGACAGACUGUGGGUGCUAAGGUCCAUGGUCGAGAGGGAAAGAGCCCAGACCACCAGAUAAGGUCCCAAAAUCAUGAUUAAGUGUGAAAGGAUGUGGAAAUUCCUUAACAGCCGGGAGGUUGGCUUAGAAGCAGCCAUCCUUUAAAGAUAGCGUAACAGCUCACCGGUCUAAUAGAGUUUCUGCGCCGAAGAUGUAACGGGGCUAAAAUCAUGUACCGAAUCUGUGGCUUUGCAAAGUUUUCGAACUUUGUAAGGGGUAGCGGAACGUUCUGUAAGCCUGUGAAGGAAUACCCGUGAGGGAUUCUGGAGGUAUCAGAAGUGCGAAUGCUGACAUAAGUAACGAUAAACGAAGUGAAAAACUUCGUCGCCGAAAAUCUAAGGGUUUCUAUGCAAGGUUAAUCCGCGUAGAGUUAGUCGGCACCUAAGGCGAGGGCGAAAGCCGUAGUCGAUGGAAACAAGGUUAAUAUUCCUUGACCAGAUGGUAGUGACGGAUUUUGUAAGUUGUGAGUUCUUAUUGGAUUGAACUUGCUGCGAAAAAGUCCCAAGAAAUAGCUCCAUCAUUAGACCGUACCCGAAACCGACACAGGUAGAUUAAUAGAGUAUAUUUAGGCGCUUGAGAGAAUGAUGUUGAAGGAACUCGGCAAAAUGCUUCCGUAACUUCGGGAUAAGGAAGACCUUUUUGUAGGCAACUAUAGAAGGGUGGCACAAGCCAGGGAGAAGCGACUGUUUAUCAAAAACACAGGGCUCUGCUAACACGUAAGUGGAUGUAUAGGGUCUGACGCCUGCCCGGUGCUGGAAGGUUAAUGCGGUUGGUGCAAGCUAACUUCUGAAGCCCCAGUAAACGGCGGCCGUAACUAUAACGGUCCUAAGGUAGCGAAAUUCCUUGUCGGGU
Molecule: ribosomal RNA, 1559 nt
Filed under: marine metagenome
Description: bacterial LSU rRNA
Rfam family: Bacterial large subunit ribosomal RNA
Source: RNAcentral